AUCCUUUACAAGGACCAAUUGGAGGGUAAGUCUGGUGCCAGCAGCCGCGGUAAUUCCAGCUCCAAUAGCGUAUAUUAAAGUUGUUGCGGUUAAAACGUUCGUAGUUGAACUUGUGCUUCAUACGGGUAGUACACCUAAAUUAUGGGUUAGUACAUUACCUUAUUGUAUGUAAGCGUAUUGCCGGUGGAGUUCUUAUAUAUUAUGUAUAUAUAUUAUGCAUAAUAUAUUCCUCCUAUAUAAACCUGAAUCAAUCCUCUUUACCGAGUGUUGUUUUGGGCCGGUACAAUUACUUUGAACAAAUUAGAGUGCUUAAAGCAGGCUCUUAAUGCCUGAAUAUUCUGUGCAUGGAAUAAUGGAAUAAGACCUCUGUUCUAAUUUCAUUGGUUUUUAGAUCAAGAGGUAAUGAUUAAUAGAAGCAGUUGGGGGCAUUAGUAUUACGACGCGAGAGGUGAAAUUCUUGGACCGUCGUAAGACUAACUUAAGCGAAAGCAUUUGCCAAAGAUGUUUUCAUUAAUCAAGAACGAAAGUUAGAGGUUCGAAGGCGAUCAGAUACCGCCCUAGUUCUAACCAUAAACAAUGCCAGCCAGCAAUUGGGUGUAGCUACUUCUAUGGCUCUCUCAGUCGCUUCCCGGGAAACCAAAGCUUUUGGGCUCCGGGGGAAGUAUGGUUGCAAAGCUGAAACUUAAAGGAAUUGACGGAAGGGCACC
This 707-nucleotide ribosomal RNA is filed under the name Diaphorus maurus. RNAcentral describes it as "SSU rRNA". It matches the Rfam family "Eukaryotic small subunit ribosomal RNA", at positions 530 to 1168 of the family's 1831-position model. The record is from RNAcentral. Lineage: Eukaryota; Metazoa; Arthropoda; Insecta; Diptera; Dolichopodidae.